AUUGAACGCUGGCGGCAGGCCUAACACAUGCAAGUCGAACGGUAGCACAGAGAGCUUGCUCUCGGGUGACGAGUGGCGGACGGGUGAGUAAUGUCUGGGAAACUGCCCGAUGGAGGGGGAUAACUACUGGAAACGGUAGCUAAUACCGCAUAACGUCGCAAGACCAAAGUGGGGGACCUUCGGGCCUCACACCAUCGGAUGUGCCCAGAUGGGAUUAGCGAGUAGGUGGGGGAAUGGCUCACCUAGGCGACGAUCCCUAGCUGGUCUGAGAGGAUGACAAGCCACACUGGAACUGAGACACGGUCCAGACUCCUACGGGAGGCAGCAGUGGGGAAUAUUGCACAAUGGGCGCAAGCCUGAUGCAGCCAUGCCGCGUGUAUGAAGAAGGCCUUCGGGUUGUAAAGUACUUUCAGCGGGGAGGAAGGCGGUGAAGUUAAUAACUUCACCGAUUGACGUUACCCGCAGAAGAAGCACCGGCUAACUCCGUGCCAGCCGCCGCCGUAA
Molecule: ribosomal RNA, 504 nt
Filed under: uncultured bacterium
Lineage: Bacteria
Description: partial 16S ribosomal RNA
Rfam family: Bacterial small subunit ribosomal RNA
Source: RNAcentral